AAUAAAAUACAGCUUCUCAGGCUAAAAUAAAAUAUGUAUGUAUUACACUCGUCAUAUCCCUUGUAUGAAUUUUCUUGAAACAACAAAAACAAAUAGAAAAUUCACACAAGGCUACAACGCUUGCGUCUAACGCUCACGUUGCACCAUAAUGGCAUUUUACCUCAUUAUGGUGGAAAAGACGGUGUAUAAAUAUACGCGCAUAUCCCCUAUAUAAAUUAUUAUUUUUAUAUAGGGCUACAACGAUUGCGUCUAACGCUCACGUUGCACCAUAAUGGAAUUUUACCUCAGUAUGGUGGAAAAGCACGUAUAGCUAGCUAGCAUUCUCUCAUAUACAUAUUAUUCUCAUAAACAUCCAAAUAUGGAUAUAUACAUAUACUCACCGAAAUUCUCAAUUUCGGUUAUUCUCCAACAAUAAUGAAAAUUGCCAAUUAUCAUAAAAAGCAAUAUGCACACGACUCCAUCGAAAAUCUCAUUUUCGGUAACUUUCCAAAUAACACGAUAGCCAUUUAAAAUGAGAACAUUGACUUCUGAAAAUGACUUCGCGUAAAUAAACAAUUCCACAUUGAUAUUCAAUAAAGUCAAUCAUUUAAUAUAAAAUCACCGCAUGCAUAUAUUUUAAAACAAAAGUCCAGUCACAACUUUAGGCCUAAGCCUGACGUCGAUCCGAGGUCUCUUCUGCUUGAGCCUCCUCACGUCCUUUUUCCAAAAGUAAGAUUAAUUUCCCCACUAAUACUCCAAACAUUUACAAAAUAGGCAAAAUUAAACGUGAGCCAACCACGCUCAUCAUCGCCUAAUUUCGAUAUUCCUAAUUCGAAAUGCUCCAAACUUCACCGAAAAAAUAAUGGCAGCCUUAGCACAACCUUCAUAGAUUAUACGACUUUAAUCUAAUGGCCGGAUUCUACAUUAAUUAACCGCCAAAAAUACCAAACUUCGGAAAAUCAAAAAACCUAACCAAAACUCAUCCAAAAAUUCCAUAACUUACAACAAUAUACUCCCCUUAAU
Molecule: long non-coding RNA, 1002 nt
Filed under: Fragaria vesca (wild strawberry)
Lineage: Eukaryota; Viridiplantae; Streptophyta; Magnoliopsida; Rosales; Rosaceae
Description: long non-coding RNA (FVES_LNC005053)
Source: RNAcentral